This 67-nucleotide transfer RNA is filed under the name Marmota monax (woodchuck). RNAcentral describes it as "tRNA.Val". The record is from RNAcentral. Lineage: Eukaryota; Metazoa; Chordata; Mammalia; Rodentia; Sciuridae.
GGAUUGUGGCUUAGAGGUAGAGCACUCGCCUCACUCGGGCGGAACCUGGGUUCAAACCUCAGCACCA